Molecule: long non-coding RNA, 1071 nt
Organism: Beta vulgaris subsp. vulgaris (sugar beet)
Lineage: Eukaryota; Viridiplantae; Streptophyta; Magnoliopsida; Caryophyllales; Amaranthaceae
Exons: 2
Source: RefSeq, a predicted model, not a curated record
UAUUAUUUUAAAAUAUUACUGCGGUUUCUCGAAAAAAUUGCAGCAAUAUGUUUGGUCAAAUAGUCAAAAUAAAUCACGUGAAAAAAGAUAAAAUAUUAACCUAUUGUUGUCGUUCUUAAAAAAACCGCAGCAAUAGGUUGUUUUAAGUAUUAAAAAAUUUGCGGCCCAACUAGGGUUUUGUUCCCCCUGCUCACUCUCUCAUAAGUCGUUUCUGUUCGCUCUCCUCUAUCUUCUCACUAUUCUCUCUCCUCUCUCUCCUCUCUCUCCUCUUCGCAUUGCGGUUCCCCCCUCUCUCUCGUCACUAUCCUCUCUCCUCUCGUGGCUCACCGUCCUUCGUCGCUCGCUAGCCUUCGUCGCUCGUGAAUCGCAACACCACCAUGGAUGAGAACCCAAAGGUCAUUGAUAAGGGUACAUUACAAUGUUGGAGUCAAAGAAAUGCAAUUUGGCUAUUGCAAUUUAAAUGGAUCAAAUCCAUUCGACUCAAAAGCAUACAACAAGAAGUAUGAAGGAAGCUGGAUUUCCUUUAAUGUUAAUGCACAAGAAUUGGGGAAGGUGGUCCCAAUGUGAACAAAAGGCCAAGAGAAGGCACACAUCAAAUAAAAAGAAGAAAGGAAGGAUUUGAUUGUUUUCUUUGGGCUAACAUCACACGCAACAAUAAGAGGGCCCUGAUUGUAUUUGGGGCUUGGAGUUUGACGUGGGUUUUGGAGGAAUAAAAUAAAAACCUAUUGGGCAGCAAACAAAGGAACAGUAGCAGUAGCACGCAGCAGACCAACAGGGAAUUGGACGAAGCAGCAGAUGACGGCAGAGCAGGAAGUAGACGACGGAACACGAGGCUUUUCGUCUGAGUUUCCGCCAUGGUUUCUUAUAAUUGGGUGAUGAUCUCUUCAAUUAUGAGUGGCUAAUUCUAUUUUUCUAGGGCUUAGAUGAAACCCUAUUAAUAUGAAUUGAUAGUUUAAUAGUGUUUGAGAAUUGAUAUUUGGUUUAUGAUUGCAUAACUAUUGAGAUUAUUAUUGGGUUGAUAAUUGGUCUUGUAGAAUUGAUUAUUGGUUUUAUUGUUAUCAAAUUUACAUA